UGCGGGAUAGCUCAGUCGGUAGAGAGAGUGUUUCAUACGCACUAUGUCGUCGGUUCGAGUCCGACUCCCGCUCCCA
Molecule: transfer RNA, 76 nt
Filed under: Opitutales bacterium
Lineage: Bacteria; Pseudomonadati; Verrucomicrobiota; Opitutia; Opitutales
Description: tRNA-Met
Rfam family: tRNA
About the family: Transfer RNA (tRNA) molecules are approximately 80 nucleotides in length. Their secondary structure includes four short double-helical elements and three loops (D, anti-codon, and T loops).
Source: RNAcentral